This 274-nucleotide ribosomal RNA is filed under the name uncultured bacterium. RNAcentral's name for it is "partial 16S ribosomal RNA". It matches the Rfam family "Bacterial small subunit ribosomal RNA", at positions 523 to 796 of the family's 1533-position model. The record is from RNAcentral.
AUACGGAGGGGGCUAGCGUUGUUCGGAAUUACUGGGCGUAAAGCGUACGUAGGCGGACUGAUCAGUUGGGCGAGAAAUCCCAGGGCUUAACCCUGGAACUGCCUUCAAUACUGUCAGUCUUGAGAUUGGAAGAGGUGAGUGGAAUUCCUAGUGUAGAGGUGAAAUUCAUAGAUAUUAGGAGGAACACCAGUGGCGAAGGCGGCUCACUGGUCCAAUACUGACGCUGAGGUACGAAAGCGUGGGGAGCAAACAGGAUUAGAAACCCUAGUAGUCC